GGACAUUACCGAGUUAUACAACUCCCAAACCCACUGUGAACCUUACCUCAGUUGCCUCGGCGGGAACGCCCCGGCCGCCGGCCCCCGCGCCGGCGCCGGACCCAGGUGCCCGCCGCGGGGACCCCAAACUCUCUUGCAUUACGCCCCCGGGGCGGAAUUUCUUCUCUGAGUUGCACAAGCAAAAACAAAUGAAUCAAAACUUUCAACAACGGAUCUCUUGGUUCUGGCAUCGAUGAAGAACGCAGCGAAAUGCGAUAAGUAAUGUGAAUUGCAGAAUUCAGUGAAUCAUCGAAUCUUUGAACGCACAUUGCGCCCGCCAGCAUUCUGGCGGGCAUGCCUGUUCGAGCGUCAUUUCAACCCUCGAGCCCCCCCGGGGGCCUCGGUGUUGGGGGACGGCACACCAGCCGCCCCCGAAAUGCAGUGGCGACCCCGCCGCAGCCUCCCCUGCGUAGUAGCACACACCUCGCACCGGAGCGCGGAGGCGGUCACGCCGUAAAACGCCCAACUUUCUUAGAGUUGACCUCGGAUCAGGUAGGAAUACCCGCUGAACUUAAGCAUAUCAAUAAGCGGAGGAAAAGAAACCAACAGGGAUUGCCCCAGUAACGGCGAGUGAAGCGGCAACAGCUCAAAUUUGAAAUCUGGCCCCCAGGGCCCGAGUUGUAAUUUGCAGAGGAUGCUUUUGGCGCGGUGCCUUCCGAGUUCCCUGGAACGGGACGCCAUAGAGGGUGAGAGCCCCGUCUGGUCGGACGCCUAGCCUGUGUAAAGCUCCUUCGACGAGUCGAGUAGUUUGGGAAUGCUGCUCUAAAUGGGAGGUAUAUGUCUUCUAAAGCUAAAUACCGGCCAGAGACCGAUAGCGCACAAGUAGAGUGAUCGAAAGAUGAAAAGCACUUUGAAAAGAGGGUUAAAUAGUACGUGAAAUUGUUGAAAGGGAAGCGCUUGUGACCAGACUUGGGCCCGGUGGAUCAUCCAGCGUUCUCGCUGGUGCACUCCGCCGGGUUCAGGCCAGCAUCAGUUCGCCGCGGGGGAAAAAGGCUUCGGGAACGUGGCUCCUACGGGAGUGUUAUAGCCCGUUGCAUAAUACCCUGGGGCGGACUGAGGUUCGCGCUC
RNAcentral lists this ribosomal RNA (1107 nucleotides) under Purpureocillium lilacinum. Its description in RNAcentral is "eukaryotic LSU rRNA". The stretch from base 518 to 1107 matches the Rfam family "Eukaryotic large subunit ribosomal RNA", at positions 1 to 600 of the family's 3401-position model. Lineage: Eukaryota; Fungi; Ascomycota; Sordariomycetes; Hypocreales; Ophiocordycipitaceae. The record is from RNAcentral.